Molecule: ribosomal RNA, 303 nt
Filed under: uncultured bacterium
Lineage: Bacteria
Description: partial 16S ribosomal RNA
Rfam family: Bacterial small subunit ribosomal RNA
Source: RNAcentral
AGCAGUAGCCGCGGUAAUACGGAGGGGGCUAGCGUUGUUCGGAAUUACUGGGCGUAAAGCGCACGUAGGCGGCUUGGUAAGUUAGAGGUGAAAGCCUGGAGCUCAACUCCAGAAUUGCCUUUAAGACUGCCGAGCUAGCAGGUGAGAGAGGUAAGUGGAAUUCCGAGUGUAGAGGUGAAAUUCGUAGAUAUUCGGAAGAACACCAGUGGCGAAGGCGGCUUACUGGCUCAUACUGGACGCUGAGGUGCGAAAGCGUGGGGAGCAAACAGGAUUAGAUACCCGCGUAGUCCCUGUCUCUUAUAC